Molecule: ribosomal RNA, 506 nt
Filed under: uncultured bacterium
Lineage: Bacteria
Description: partial 16S ribosomal RNA
Rfam family: Bacterial small subunit ribosomal RNA
Source: RNAcentral
GAUGAACGCUAGCUACAGGCUUAGCACAUGCAAGUCGAGGGGUAACGAGAGGAAAGCUUGCUUUCCUUGUCGACGACCGGCGCACGGGUGAGUAACGCGUAUCCAACCUGCCCCCAACUAGGGAAUAACCUUGCGAAAGUAAGACUAAUACCCUAUAAUUUCCUCAGAUGUCAUCUGACGAGGAAUAAAGAUUUAUCGGUUGUGGAUGGGGAUGCGUCUGAGUAGCUUGUUGGCGGGGUAACGGCCCACCAAGGCAACGAUCAGGAGGGGUUCUGAGAGGAAGGUCCCCCACAUUGGAACUGAGACACGGUCCAAACUCCUACGGGAGGCAGCAGUGAGGAAUAUUGGUCAAUGGGCGGAAGCCUGAACCAGCCAAGUAGCGUGCAGGAUGACGGCCCUAUGGGUUGUAAACUGCUUUUAUACAGGAAUAAAGUUAGCCACGUGUGGUUAUUUGUAGGUACUGUAUGAAUAAGGACCGGCUAAUUCCGUGCCAGCCGCCGCCGUAA